This is a long non-coding RNA of Oncorhynchus tshawytscha (Chinook salmon), 2169 nucleotides long. The record is from Ensembl. Lineage: Eukaryota; Metazoa; Chordata; Actinopteri; Salmoniformes; Salmonidae.
AGAGAGAGAGGUGAUCGGAGGAUUGGGGGCUCAGUGAACAGAACAAAGCGAUGGAGAGAUGCUCCAUCUCUCCUGUCAAACGACUGAUCACCCUCCGCUGCCUUUUCUUCCUCCUGGUUGCCGUGGUGACGCGACCCUCAACCUGUAACCGUGACGAUGAGGGCGAGGGGCAGGUGGAGGCCCUCUCGGCCCAGCUGUCCGUCCCAGAACAGGUCACACCCACCCCUAUUUGGUCCGUGGACUGGGGCCCCACACUAUCCCUGGAGGACGAGACGCAUCACAUCCUGUCCAGCCAGGAAGCGGAUCUGCACCACCACGGCCAUGAAGUCCCCACGACAACCGCCGAGGCCUGGCCGCAUCAUCAGAGUGCACCGGGCAGUGCUUUGCCCCAGGAGCCCCUGGACCUUCUGGAGGCCCCAGAUGCAGAGGGAGUGGAGGAUGGAGGAAGUGAGCCGGAGGAGAGAGAGCCUGAGGAAGUGGACCCUCAGUUCUACGUCACAGUGACCAUCUCCUCUCUGCUCAUCCUGACUGCUGUCAUCAUAACGGUCAAACUCUGGAUUCCCGUGGUGAACCUCUAAGGCGAACGUUUCUGAUUUGAUACACAUUCCUACGGGAUGCGAUGGGAUGCGACGGAGAACACUGCCAGAGGGUGUGGCCCGCCGUGGUCUUCGACUUAUCUUUGACUGUGAAAAUGAAAAUCAGGGACCCAGGUAUCCAGCCAUGGCAAAACCUCUUUUUCCCUCCAUCCCUUCCUCCCGAAGGAGAAAAGCCCGAUCUCAUCCCUUCCUCCCGAGGGAGAAAAGCCCGAUCUCAUCCCUUCCUCCCGAGGGAGAAAAGCCCGAUCUCAUCCCUUCCUCCCGAGGGAGAAAAGCCCGAUCUCAUCCCUUCCUUCCUUCCUGCUGCCAUCCUCCUACGCCUCUUUUCUCCACUUUUCUAUGGAUCUGUGUCACUGUAGACUGACCAAACCUUCUGCUCUGUUUUAUAUUCCAGUUGUCUGUACUGCCCCAGGCUGUAGCAGCAACAUACGUACAGGUCCCUCCGCUUGAUCCGCUUUGACUAAUUCACAAGCAAACAGUGUUAGAUAUCAAUAGAACAUUUUAGUCCCGCCGGUGCCAAAACCGCAUAGCUAUAUGGGGCUGUUUGGAAUAUUUCAUACAGCUAUCUUGUGUAGCUGAACAUUAAACUAUGAUGAAAUAGUGGACUUGGUUAUUGAAACUUAGUUGAAAGUGCAAUAUGUGUGUUAUCUGAAACAUAGGUGUUCAGCUAGCUGGUGAAUGGUUAAAACAAUCCCUGUUUCCUAGGACUGAAGGGGGUAUUUCACAAAGCUGGUAUGGCAAUGUUGUCGCCAGCCGCCAAUGUACUUAACGCGACAUGGUCCAAAAAUCGCUGUUUACUCCCGCUUUGGAAUGCAAAUAGGCCCACUGCAGAUUCCACAUUCCCAAUGUGUUUUCUGGGUGUUUUUUACUCCGUAAACUAUAUUCUUUGUUUGUUCCUUUUAUUUUCUUGCCUCUUUGCCGCCUCUGUUGUGCAUUUGUGAGUGUGUUAUCUUGUCUCUGGAGCAUGGGGAUGGGCAGGGUUUAUAUAUUACUACUCUAUAUAGGGUUGGGAAAUUCUUUCUUUUUCACAAAAUUCCCAGGUUUUCCAGACAUCCCGGUUGGAAGAUUCCUGGAAUUAGGAGGGAAGGAAAUACAGGAAUUUUCCAACUGGGAUUUCUGGAAAACCAUGGAAUUUGGGGGGGGGAAACGUUAUCCUUGUUGUGUAUGAAAAUAGUGGUGCAAACAAUGUACAAUACAUGUUUGCAUAUAUCGCAAUCAGUACAAUCAAACGAUACAUGUGGUACAAUCAAUGUGGUGUCAGGUAAACAUAAUGGGUAUAAAUGAUACAGUCCAGAAGUAAUGAGCCAUUUUACCAUCAUCUGUUGUUUCUGCUCCGACUUCAAAGCUUAAACGAGUGUUUACUGUCGGAUCUUAGGGUAAUGUACCUGUCCAACUCGACCACCAGCUUUGAGAAAUGACCCUCUGGACUUCCACUACACUAGUACACAUAGUGUUGUAACGUCAUAGGUGACUUGUGUCGUUCUGCAUUCUAGUGUUUCCUCGGUUCUCAGUAGCAUUCCUGUAGACGUGUGGCUCCACUGUACGAUGGAACAACAAUAAAAACUCAACACUG